Molecule: long non-coding RNA, 2250 nt
Filed under: Zonotrichia albicollis (white-throated sparrow)
Lineage: Eukaryota; Metazoa; Chordata; Aves; Passeriformes; Passerellidae
Description: lncRNA (ENSZALG00000001885.1)
Source: RNAcentral
CAUUGGGGACAUUGGGGACAUCAUUGGGACAGGAUGGACCUGGCCUGGGGACAUUGGGGACAUCAUUGGGGACAUGGGACAGAAUGGACCUGGCCUGGGGACAUCAAUGGGGACAUUGAGGACACAUUGGGGACAUCACUGGGGACACAGGGGACAGGAUGGACCUGGCCUGGGGACACAUUGGGGACAUCAUUGGGGACACAGGGGACAGGUUGGACCUGGCCUGGUGACACAUUGGGGACAUCACUGGGGACAUCACUGGGGACAGGAUGGACCUGGCCUGGGGACAUCAAUGGGGACAUCAUUGGGGACAUCAUUGGGGACACAUUGGGGACAUCAUUGGGACAUUGGGGACACAUUGGGGACACCAUCGGGGACACUGGGGACAUCAUUGGGGACACAGGACAGGAUGGACCUGGCCUGGGGACAUCAAUGGGGACAUUAGGGACACUGGGGACAUCAUUGGGGACAUCACUGACAUCAUUGGGAACAAGAUGGAGCUGGCCUGGGGACACACUGGGGACAUUGGAGACAUCAGUGGGGACAUCAUUGGGGACAGGAUGGACCUGGCCUGGGGACAUCAAUGGGGACACUGGGGACAUCAUUGGGGACAAUGGGGACACACUGGGGACAUCAUUGGGACACCAUCGGGGACAUUGGGGACAGGAUGGACCUGGCCUGGGGACACACUGGGGACAUUGGGGACAUCACUGGGGACAUGGGACAGGAUGGACCUGGCCUGGGGACACAUUGGGGACAUCAUUGGGGACAUCACUAGGGACAGGAUGGACCUGGCCUGGGGACAUCAAUGGGGACAUUGGGGACACUGGGGACAUCAUUGGGGACAUCACUGACAUCAUUGGGAACAGGAUGGAGCUGGCCUGGGGACACACUGGGGACAUUGGAGACAUCAGUGGGGACAUCAUUGGGGACAGGAUGGACCUGGCCUGGGGACACAUUGGGGACAUCAUUGGGGACAUCACUGGGGACAGUGGGGACACUGGGACAGGGACAGGAACCGCACCCGGGUGGCGCGGGACAGGAUGGACCUGGCCUGGGGACAUCAAUGGGGACACUGGGGACACUGGGGACAUCAUUGGGGACAUCACUGACAUCAUUGGGGACAGGAUGGAGCUGGCCUGGGGACAUCAAUGGGGACAUUUGGGCCAUUGGAGACAUCACUGGGGACAUCAUUGGGGACAUUGGGGACAGGAUGGACCUGGCCUGGGGACAUCAUUGGGGACAUUGGGGACAGGAUGGACCUGGCCUGGGAACAUCACUGGGGACAUCAUUGGGGACACAGGGGACAGGUUGGACCUGGCCUGGGGACACACUGGGGACACUGGGGACAUCACUGGGGACAUUGGGGACAGGAUGGACCUGGCCUGGGGACAUUGGGGACAUCAAUGGGGACAUUGGGGACAGGAUGGAUCUGGCCUGGGGACAUCAUUGAGGACACAGGGACAGGAUGGACCUGGCCUGGGGACAUUGGGGACAUCGUUGGGGACCUUGGGGACAUCAACAGGAACCCCACCCGGGUGGCACGGGACAGGAUGGACCUGGCCUGGGGACACCAUUGGGGACAUCAUUGGGGACAUGGGACAGGAUAGACCUGGCCUGGGGACAUCAAUGGGGACAUCAUUGGGACAUUGGGGACAUCAUUGGGGACAUCAUUGGGAACAGGAUGGACCUGGCCUGGGGACAUCAAUGGGGACAUUGGGGACAUCAAUGGGGACACUGGGGACAUCAUUGGGGACAUUGGGGACACAUUGGGGACAUCAUUGGGACAUUGGGUACACAUUGGGGACACCAUCGGGGACAUUGGGGACAGGAUGGACCUGGCCUGGGGACAUUGGGGACAUCAUUGGGGACACGGGACAGGAUGGACCUGGCCUGGGGACACACUGGGGACAUUGGGGACAUCAUUGGGGACACAGGGGACAGGAUGGACCUGGCCUGGGAACAUCAAUGGGGACAUUGGGGACACUGGGGACAUCAUUGGGGACAUCACUGACAUCAUUGGGAACAGGAUGGACCUGGCCUGGGGACACACUGGGGACAUUGGGGACAUCAUUGGGGACAUCACUGGGGACAUUGGGGACAGGAUGGACCUGGCCUGGGGACAUCAUUGGGGACAUUGGGGACACUGGGACAGGGACAGGAUGGACCUGGCCUGGGGACAUUAUUGGGGACACCAUUGGGGACAUGGGGACUCAGGGGACAUUGGGGACAGGAGGGGGCAGCUCUGGG